AGAGUUUGAUCCUGGCUCAGAAUCAACGCUGGCGGCGUGCCUAACACAUGCAAGUCGCACGAGAAAGUGGAGCAAUCCAUGAGUAAAGUGGCGCACGGGUGAGUAACACGUGAAUUAUCUACCUCCGAGUGGGGAAUAACUGAGAGAAAUCUUAGCUAAUACCGCAUAACACUUACGAGUCAAAGCAGCAAUGCGCUUGGAGAGGAGUUCGCGGCCGAUUAGUUAGUUGGCGGGGUAACGGCCCACCAAGACGAUGAUCGGUAUCCGGCCUGAGAGGGCGCACGGACACACUGGAACUGAAACACGGUCCAGACUCCUACGGGAGGCAGCAGUGGGGAAUUUUGCGCAAUGGGGGAAACCCUGACGCAGCAACGCCGCGUGGAGGAUGAAAUAUCUUGGUAUGUAAACUCCUUUCGAUGGGGAAGAUUAUGACGGUACCCAUAGAAGAAGCCCCGGCUAACUUCGUGCCAGCAGCCGCGGUAAUACGAGGGGGGCAAGCGUUGUUCGGAUUUAUUGGGCGUAAAGGGUGCGUAGGCGGUUUGGCAAGUCUGAUGUGAAAUCUAUGGGCUCAACCCAUAGUCUGCAUCAGAAACUGCCGGGCUUGAGUAUGGGAGAGGUGAGUGGAAUUUCCGGUGUAGCGGUGAAAUGCGUAGAUAUCGGAAGGAACACCUGUGGCGAAAGCGGCUCACUGGACCAUAACUGACGCUGAUGCACGAAAGCUAGGGGAGCAAACAGGAUUAGAUACCCUAGUAGUCC
RNAcentral lists this ribosomal RNA (756 nucleotides) under uncultured bacterium. RNAcentral describes it as "bacterial SSU rRNA". It matches the Rfam family "Bacterial small subunit ribosomal RNA", at positions 8 to 796 of the family's 1533-position model. The record is from RNAcentral.